Molecule: ribosomal RNA, 771 nt
Filed under: uncultured Neocallimastigales
Lineage: Eukaryota; Fungi; Neocallimastigomycota; Neocallimastigomycetes; Neocallimastigales
Description: partial large subunit ribosomal RNA
Rfam family: Eukaryotic large subunit ribosomal RNA
Source: RNAcentral
CGCAUCUGUGCAUGCAGCAUAUCAAUAAGCGGAGGAAAAGAAACUAACAAGGAUUCCCUCAGUAACGGCGAGUGAAGCGGGAAGAGCUCAAAUUUGAAAUCUUGAAAGGUCACCUUUCACGAAUUGUAGUUUAAAGAAGUGUUUUCUGUUACGAUCGUAAUAUAAGUUCUUUGGAAUAGGACAUCACAGAGGGUGAGAAUCCCGUCUAUGAUUGCGAUUUGUAGCUUUGUGAUACACUUUCAAAGAGUCGGGUUGUUUGGGAAUGCAGCCCAAAACGGGAGGUAAAUUUCUUCUAAGGCUAAAUAUUGGCGAGAGACCGAUAGCGAACAAGUACCGUGAGGGAAAGAUGAAAAGAACUUUGAAAAGAGAGUUAAAUAGUACGUGAAAUUGUCAAAAGGGAAGCGUUUAACACCAGUGUUGUUUUCUGAAAAUCAACCUCUGUUAGCUUUAUGCAUGUUUGUUUAGACCUAAUCAGCUAUCUUGCAUGUUCUAUUGUUUGCAGUGGUGCACUUUUCAGUUUACAGGUCAACAUCAGUUUUUUUUACCGUAAAAAAGUUAAAGAAAGGUAGCUCAUGGCUCCGGUCGUGAGUGUUAUAGUCUUUUUCCUAUGCGGUAGGAGAGACUGAGGUCUGCAGUGUAGGCUAUUUGGCUAGAUACUCAGGUGCUAUGUGAUACCAUUUCAUAAACAACUUGCUGAUUAUGUUUUGUCUAUUGCAUACUCGCUUGUACUAUCAUACCUACGCUUAGGAUGUUGACGAUCAGCUGAGCGCG